ACUAUAGCUUGACACUGAACAUUGAGCCUUGAUGUGUAGGAUAGGUGGGAGGCUUUGAAGUGUGGACGCCAGUCUGCAUGGAGCCGACCUUGAAAUACCACCCUUUAAUGUUUGAUGUUCUAACGUGGGCCCCUUACCGGGGUUGCGGACAGUGUCUGGUGGGUAGUUUGACUGGGGCGGUCUCCUCCUAAAGAGUAACGGAGGAGCACGAAGGUUGGCUAAUCCUGGUCGGACAUCAGGAGGUUAGUGCAAUGGCAUAAGCCAGCUUGACUGCGAGCGUGACGGCGCGAGCAGGUGCGAAAGCAGGUCAUAGUGAUCCGGUGGUUCUGAAUGGAAGGGCCAUCGCUCAACGGAUAAAAGGUACUCCGGGGAUAACAGGCUGAUACCGCCCAAGAGUUCAUAUCGACGGCGGUGUUUGGCACCUCGAUGUCGGCUCAUCACAUCCUGGGGCUGAAGUAGGUCCCAAGGGUAUGGCUGUUCGCCAUUUAAAGUGGUACGCGAGCUGGGUUUAGAACGUCGUGAGACAGUUCGGUCCCUAUCUGCCGUGGGCGCUGGAGAACUGAGGGGGGCUGCUCCUAGUACGAGAGGACCGGAGUGGACGCAUCACUGGUGUUCGGGUUGUCAUGCCAAUGGCACUGCCCGGUAGCUAAAUGCGGAAGAGAUAAGUGCUGAAAGCAUCUAAGCACGAAACUUGCCCCGAGAUGAGUUCUCCCUGACUCCUUGAGAGUCCUGAAGGAACGUUGAAGACGACGACGUUGAUAGGCCGGGUGUGUAAGCGCAGCGAUGCGUUGAGCUAACCGGUACUAAUGAACCGUGAGGCUUAACCUUACAACGCCGAAG
Molecule: ribosomal RNA, 840 nt
Filed under: Escherichia coli
Lineage: Bacteria; Pseudomonadati; Pseudomonadota; Gammaproteobacteria; Enterobacterales; Enterobacteriaceae
Description: partial 23S ribosomal RNA
Rfam family: Bacterial large subunit ribosomal RNA
Source: RNAcentral